Molecule: ribosomal RNA, 492 nt
Filed under: uncultured bacterium
Lineage: Bacteria
Description: partial 16S ribosomal RNA
Rfam family: Bacterial small subunit ribosomal RNA
Source: RNAcentral
GAACGCUGGCGGCGUGCCUAAUACAUGCACGUAGAACGCUGAAGGAGGAGCUUGCUUCUCUGGAUGAGUUGCGAACGGGUGAGUAACGCGUAGGUAACCUGCCUGGUAGCGGGGGAUAACUAUUGGAAACGAUAGCUAAUACCGCAUAAGAGUAGAUGUUGCAUGACAUUUGCUUAAAAGGUGCAAUUGCAUCACUACCAGAUGGACCUGCGUUGUAUUAGCUAGUUGGUGGGGUAACGGCUCACCAAGGCGACGAUACAUAGCCGACCUGAGAGGGUGAUCGGCCACACUGGGACUGAGACACGGCCCAGACUCCUACGGGAGGCAGCAGUAGGGAAUCUUCGGCAAUGGACGGAAGUCUGACCGAGCAACGCCGCGUGAGUGAAGAAGGUUUUCGGAUCGUAAAGCUCUGUUGUAAGAGAAGAACGAGUGUGAGAGUGGAAAGUUCACACUGUGACGGUAGCUUACCAGAAAGGGACGGCUAACUACGUG